NNCCGGCUGACGAGUCCCAAAUAGGACGAAACGCGCGUCCUGGAU
RNAcentral lists this non-coding RNA (45 nucleotides) under Schistosoma mansoni. The record is from RNAcentral. Lineage: Eukaryota; Metazoa; Platyhelminthes; Trematoda; Strigeidida; Schistosomatidae.